This 589-nucleotide long non-coding RNA is filed under the name Salmo salar (Atlantic salmon). RNAcentral's name for it is "lncRNA (ENSSSAG00000107839.1)". Lineage: Eukaryota; Metazoa; Chordata; Actinopteri; Salmoniformes; Salmonidae. The record is from RNAcentral.
CAGGGUGGUUGACACCAGGCUUUAACUUAGUCUGGUCCCAGACCUGUUUGUGCUUUCAGAGGGAAACAGGGUGGUUGACACCAGGCUUUAACUUAGUCUGGUCCCAGACCUGUGUAUGCUGUCAUGACAACUUCUUGUUGCCAUUGUCCUGCGGCAGGUGGCUUCAUUCCUAGACGACAUGCAGUCCUCAACCAGUCAAUGCAGACAGAAUCAUCGCACUAUCUGAUGUAAGACAAUGCCUUGUCGGAGACGGCACGACCUUAUCUGGAACCAGGCUAAGGUCAAUGACAACAGGACCAGAUCUGGAACCAGGUUUAUGUCAACAGAACCAGAUCUGGAACCAGGUUUAUGUCAAUGACAACAGGACCAGAUCUGGGACCAGGUCAAUGUCUACAGGACCAGAUCUGGAACCAGGUCAAUGACAACAGGACCAGAUCUGGAACCAGGUUUAUGAUAACAGGACCAGAUCUGGAACCAGGUUUAUGAUAACAGGACCAGAUCUGGAACCAGGUUAAGGUCAAGAGGGUGGAAGAUACAAGGCUGUUUGUUUCUUCAGCGGAGAAUAAAACUUGUAAAAAAUACAACUGGA